RNAcentral lists this ribosomal RNA (189 nucleotides) under uncultured bacterium. RNAcentral's name for it is "partial 16S ribosomal RNA". It matches the Rfam family "Bacterial small subunit ribosomal RNA", at positions 338 to 524 of the family's 1533-position model. The record is from RNAcentral.
CCUACGGGAGGCAGCAGUAGGGAAUAUUGGUCAAUGGACGCAAGUCUGAACCAGCCAUGCCGCGUGCAGGAAGACGGCCUUCUGGGUUGUAAACUGCUUUUCUCAGGGAAGAAAAACGCUCUUGCGAGAGCACUUGCCGGUACCUGAGGAAUAAGCACCGGCUAACUCCGUGCCAGCAGCCGCGGUAAU